RNAcentral lists this non-coding RNA (45 nucleotides) under Schistosoma mattheei. Lineage: Eukaryota; Metazoa; Platyhelminthes; Trematoda; Strigeidida; Schistosomatidae. The record is from RNAcentral.
AUACAGCUGACGAAUCGCAAAUAAGAUGAAACUCUCGUUUUGAAU